UACGUAGGCAGCGAGCGUUGUUCGGAAUUACUGGGCGUAAAGAGUGUGUAGGCGGUGCUCUAAGUUCGGUGUGAAAUCUCCCGGCUCAACCGGGAGGGUGCGCCGAAAACUGGGAGACUAGAGUGCGGGAUGGGAGAGUAGAAUUCCUGGUGUAGCGGUGAAAUGCGUAGAUAUCAGGAGGAAUACCGGUGGUGUAGACGGCUCUCUGGACCGCCACUGACGCUGAGACACGAAAGCGUGGGUAGCAAACAGG
Molecule: ribosomal RNA, 253 nt
Filed under: uncultured bacterium
Lineage: Bacteria
Description: partial 16S ribosomal RNA
Rfam family: Bacterial small subunit ribosomal RNA
Source: RNAcentral